Molecule: ribosomal RNA, 490 nt
Filed under: uncultured bacterium
Lineage: Bacteria
Description: partial 16S ribosomal RNA
Rfam family: Bacterial small subunit ribosomal RNA
Source: RNAcentral
AGUGAACGCUGGCGGUAGGCCUAACACAUGCAAGUCGAACGGCAGCACAGUAAGAGCUUGCUCUUACGGGUGGCGAGUGGCGGACGGGUGAGGAAUACAUCGGAAUCUACUUUUUCGUGGGGGAUAACGUAGGGAAACUUACGCUAAUACCGCAUACGACCUACGGGUGAAAGCAGGGGAUCUUCGGACCUUGCGCGAUUGAAUGAGCCGAUGUCGGAUUAGCUAGUUGGCGGGGUAAAGGCCCACCAAGGCGACGAUCCGUAGCUGGUCUGAGAGGAUGAGCAGCCCCCCGGGAACGAGGACCCGGUCCGGCCCCCUACGGGAGGCAGAAGUGGGGAAUAUUGGACAAGGGGGGCAAGCCGAAUCCAGCCAUACCGCGUGGGGAAAGAAGGCCUUGGGGGUGAAAAGCCCUUUUGUGGGGAAAAAAAAGCGGCAGGUUAAAACCCCGCUGUUCUGGCGGUACCCAAAAAAAAAGCACCGGCAAACUUCG